This is a long non-coding RNA of Cicer arietinum (chickpea), 2700 nucleotides long. RefSeq lists it as uncharacterized. Lineage: Eukaryota; Viridiplantae; Streptophyta; Magnoliopsida; Fabales; Fabaceae. The record is from RefSeq and is a predicted model, not a curated record.
UAGGAUUUGAAAAGUCAAGUGAUAUCGAUCAUUCAUAAAAAUUGAAGACUGAAAUAUUAAAAGGCGGAAGCACACAAACCAACCCGGCCGUUACAGUGUUAUUUGGUCCUUUUCUUUUCCAAAUCAGCUUUCAUCCAACGUUAUACUUACCGCCGCCGUUUUCUUUGACGUGUGGAUAAAUUAGAACCAUCUCAGACCAUCCUCACUCAGGACCUCACCGACGAGCUCGUCAUCGUCGACAACAAACCCGAUAAACUCCGCGGCGAGAUGGUCGACCUUCAGCGCGCCACUGCCUUUCUCCCCCGCGUUAAGAUCAACUCAUCCAUUGAAUACUCCGUUCCAGAUCCGAUCUUUGUAUUGUUACCGCCGGCGCACGACAGAAUGCCGGUGAGUCAAGGCUGAACCUCCCUCAGAGGAACCUCGCUCUAUUCAAGGAAAUCAUACCUGCUCUGGCCCGUUACUCGCCGCAUACUCAUCGUGUCUAACCGUGUCAGUGUUAUCACCUACAUCGCAUGGAAGCUCUCCGGGUUCCCAUCCAGUCGGACUAUCGGGUCGGGUACUGUUCAGAUUCUUGCCAACGUCAACAGGAAGGUUAUGAGCUCUUGCAAAUGAUACUUGAUUGAAAGAAUUCAAUCUUACAACAGCGUCGUGGUGCCAUUCACCGGCUUAUGGUUUGGUUAUUGAACCUGAUCAGGGAGUUGUUCUUAAUAUGACUAGAAUUUAAACAAUAAUGUAACUAAAUGAGACAUAUACUACUUCUGGUUUUAUUUUUCUAUUAAAAAAAUCAAUCAUAUUAAUUAUGAACAGAGUUAGAGGCUGCCUUAUUCCAAUAGUGAGUUGGAGAACCAAUUUGGAUUUUCAUUCUUUUUUGCGUUCUCAAAUUUAAGAUGUUUCCACCAUAUUGAAUUGUGUAGCAGAUUCCUUAAAAAAAUGUGUAACAGAUAAAUAUGAAUUGUGUGAUUUUUGAAAUGGGUUGCAAGUGGCAAGUUCUCUAAUAGGUCUCAAUAUAGUUCUCUAAUUCAUUUAUGAAGAAACAUAUUGUCAGCAAAACAACUUUCUUGUUAUUAUUAGUUACAUGUGUAAAUGCAUCUUUUUUAAAUUUAAAAUUGUGUUUGGCCAAAAGUUUAAGUUUGUGACUAAAUGAUAUCUCCUAUUUCUCGUCAUCUCCAUUGUUGUUGUAAAGCUCCCCACAGUGUGAGAGUCACUCCUCAAUGAAAACAGCCUACUCACCCCUCACAUUCUAUGACAUUGUUUUUCCCUUCAUCUUCUUUCUUUUCAAACCCUCAUUCAUUCUCCGCUAUAACACACCAACCUACACAAAACACCACCUACAUUGACCUCAUCCAUUUCUCACUAAUCUCUUUCUGGUUCCUUCCAAUGGUUUCUUUGAAUUUAAUUUUGGUUCCAAUUGGCUUUGAUCACGACACGAUAAUUUGUAUUUUACCAUCAUUCUGUGAUGAUUUCGUGAUUUGACGAUAGAAUUGUUUCUCCGCUAAUUUAGCGAUGCUCAUAUCUGUUCAAAGAAACAGAAUUCCGUUUAAUAAUCUUGAUUCAAUUAUUGUUAUAGUAAUCAAUUAUCAUCAUUCUUUAUUUUGCUUUCAAAUUUUAAUACAUUUAGUCUCUAAUUUUAAUACAUUUAGUCUCAGAUUUUAAGUUUGAUUAUAUAGUAUUGCAAUUCUAAGUAAGUGCCUAUUGUUAAAUGAGAAAGAAAGGUAGAUUUGUAGCAUUGCUUGCAUUAUGAUUAUUUUAUUCUAGCUAGGGGCCGCGUAGACAAUCAUUGUCUUAUAGAUGGAUUCCUGUUUAAGAUAAAUUUGUUCAUUUUUGCUCUUUGAUAUUGUUAUGAAAGCUUUAAACAUAGAUAUCUCCUUGCACUAUGAAUUCACUUUUGGUAGUUUCAAUUUGGAUAUGAUGAUUUAUUUGGUUUGGUAGUAGAGUUGUUUCUACGGUAUUCUUUUUAUGCUCAUACCCAUCUAAUGAAACAAAAUCUUUUUUCUAGAAGAUGUAAGAUAGAAUUAACACAGGGUGGUGUCUCAGAUUUAAAAUUUGAGUAGAUAGUAUUAGAAAUUUGAAGAGUAAAGAGCAAUUAUUUCAUCUUGACUGCAUUAUUAUGAAAUAUCAUUACCUUUUUUUUUCUCCUUGACAGAAUGCAAAAAUAUCCAAUCCUCAAGAGGAAUCUGCAGUAUCUAAGGCGAAUAAUUUUUUAAGUAAAAUUAUUUAUCGUUUUCAUUUUGGUCCUGCAAAGAAACUUCAAAUCACACAAUGUUCAUCAUUUCAAGAUGUUGAAGUUGGUUGUAAAGAUUCAAAUCUAAGCACAACAGCCCAGACGAGGAUGAUGGAAAUGAAAAUGGCCCAAUAAGGACGAGUCCAACCCAAAGAAGGUGCUAGUGCUACUACUGCAGGGGAAGAGAAAGAUACUUCCUCUGAAAUCAGAACCUCCAAAAUUACAUGCAUGUAAGAAUGAGAAUAGAUCAUGUUACUAAUAGCCAAAUUCUUGCAAAAUGUGCAAGGAUUAUUGCCUUUGUUUUUUAUGAAUGACAUUGACAAUGGCAAAAAAAUAUGUACUUGACACUGUAUAAACUUGCCUUAAUAUGGGUACAGGAGGAGAAAAUCAGUGAGAGGAUGAAUAUUCUCCAAGACAAUAUUUAGUAUGUUGAUCAAUAUAUAGUAAUAAUAAAGGUUUUUAUUCUUUUGAGAGACAAA